RNAcentral lists this microRNA precursor (59 nucleotides) under Caenorhabditis elegans. Its description in RNAcentral is "microRNA cel-mir-4925 precursor". Lineage: Eukaryota; Metazoa; Nematoda; Chromadorea; Rhabditida; Rhabditidae. The record is from miRBase by way of RNAcentral.
GUAAGUGCAUAUGUUUCAAAAACUUGUUCAAAUUGUUUUCGAAAACAUUGCAUUUACAG